GAGAGUUUGAUCCUGGCUCAGGAUGAACGCUGGCGGCGUGCCUAAUACAUGCAAGUCGAGCGAACGGACGAGAAGCUUGCUUCUCUGAUGUUAGCGGCGGACGGGUGAGUAACACGUGGAUAACCUACCUAUAAGACUGGGAUAACUUCGGGAAACCGGAGCUAAUACCGGAUGAUAUUUUGAACCGCAUGGUUCAAAAGUGAAAGACGGUCUUGCUGUCACUUAUAGAUGGAUCCGCGCUGCAUUAGCUAGUUGGUAAGGUAACGGCUUACCAAGGCAACGAUGCAUAGCCGACCUGAGAGGGUGAUCGGCCACACUGGAACUGAGACACGGUCCAGACUCCUACGGGAGGCAGCAGUAGGGAAUCUUCCGCAAUGGGCGAAAGCCUGACGGAGCAACGCCGCGUGAGUGAUGAAGGUCUUCGGAUCGUAAAACUCUGUUAUUAGGGAAGAACAUAUGUGUAAGUAACUGUGCACAUCUUGACGGUACCUAAUCAGAAAGCCACGGCUAACUACGUGCCAGCAGCCGCGGUAAUACGUAGGUGGCAAGCGUUAUCCGGAAUUAUUGGGCGUAAAGCGCGCGUAGGCGGUUUUUUAAGUCUGAUGUGAAAGCCCACGGCUCAACCGUGGAGGGUCAUUGGAAACUGGAAAACUUGAGUGCAGAAGAGGAAAGUGGAAUUCCAUGUGUAGCGGUGAAAUGCGCAGAGAUAUGGAGGAACACCAGUGGCGAAGGCGACUUUCUGGUCUGUAACUGACGCUGAUGUGCGAAAGCGUGGGGAUCAAACAGGAUUAGAUACCCUGGUAGUCCACGCCGUAAACGAUGAGUGCUAAGUGUUAGGGGGUUUCCGCCCCUUAGUGCUGCAGCUAACGCAUUAAGCACUCCGCCUGGGGAGUACGACCGCAAGGUUGAAACUCAAAGGAAUUGACGGGGACCCGCACAAGCGGUGGAGCAUGUGGUUUAAUUCGAAGCAACGCGAAGAACCUUACCAAAUCUUGACAUCCUUUGACAACUCUAGAGAUAGAGCCUUCCCCUUCGGGGGACAAAGUGACAGGUGGUGCAUGGUUGUCGUCAGCUCGUGUCGUGAGAUGUUGGGUUAAGUCCCGCAACGAGCGCAACCCUUAAGCUUAGUUGCCAUCAUUAAGUUGGGCACUCUAAGUUGACUGCCGGUGACAAACCGGAGGAAGGUGGGGAUGACGUCAAAUCAUCAUGCCCCUUAUGAUUUGGGCUACACACGUGCUACAAUGGACAAUACAAAGGGCAGCGAAACCGCGAGGUCAAGCAAAUCCCAUAAAGUUGUUCUCAGUUCGGAUUGUAGUCUGCAACUCGACUACAUGAAGCUGGAAUCGCUAGUAAUCGUAGAUCAGCAUGCUACGGUGAAUACGUUCCCGGGUCUUGUACACACCGCCCGUCACACCACGAGAGUUUGUAACACCCGAAGCCGGUGGAGUAACCUUUUAGGAGCUAGCCGUCGAAGGUGGGACAAAUGAUUGGGGUGAAGUCGUAACAAGGUAGCCGUA
RNAcentral lists this ribosomal RNA (1517 nucleotides) under Staphylococcus aureus. Its description in RNAcentral is "16S ribosomal RNA". It matches the Rfam family "Bacterial small subunit ribosomal RNA". The record is from RNAcentral. Lineage: Bacteria; Bacillati; Bacillota; Bacilli; Caryophanales; Staphylococcaceae.